CUGACUGCCGUGUUCUAGCCACACGUGACAUGACUUAACCUCUUGGCUUCCUCAUCUAAAAAGAACGUAACAAUGGUAACAACAGCGUGAGCCAGUCUGACUAUGUGCCAGGCACUGGCUGAGCACUUUAUUUCUUUAUAUCCUCACAGCCCUAUGUGGUAAGUAAAUCAGUCUCAUUCUGCAGACGAGGAACCAGGGGCUCCGAGAGGUUAAGUGAUGUUCCUACAGUCACACAGCUGAUGCUGCUAAGCACCUACUGUGUGCCAGACACUGUCCAGGCAUGGGAUACAACAGCAAACUGCUUCCUCUCUUCCACUGCUCAGGCCUCCGUUUCCUCGUGUGAUUGAAGAAAGUGGCUCUGCGUGGUGACCCUCCUGCAGCUUCAGCCAGAGAGAAGCUAAGUGCGUGCACGUUCC
Myotis davidii is the source of this 416-nucleotide long non-coding RNA. RefSeq lists it as uncharacterized. The transcript has 3 exons. The record is from RefSeq and is a predicted model, not a curated record. NCBI's taxonomy places the organism in Eukaryota, Metazoa, Chordata, Mammalia, Chiroptera, Vespertilionidae.